UACGUAGGGUGCGAGCGUUAAUCGGAAUUACUGGGCGUAAAGCGUGCGCAGGCGGUUUGCUAAGACAGGUGUGAAAUCCCCGGGCUUAACCUGGGAACUGCGCUUGUAACUAGCAGGCUAGAGUGUGGCAGAGGGGGGUGGAAUUCCACGUGUAGCGGUGAAAUGCGUAGAGAUGUGGAGGAACACCGAUGGCGAAGGCAGCCCCCUGGGCUAACACUGACGCUCAUGCACGAAAGCGUGGGGAGCAAACAGG
Molecule: ribosomal RNA, 253 nt
Filed under: uncultured bacterium
Lineage: Bacteria
Description: partial 16S ribosomal RNA
Rfam family: Bacterial small subunit ribosomal RNA
Source: RNAcentral